AGUCCGUGAGUUGGGCAUUGAAGUAGAACCUUCUUGAACCUCAGCCAUGUUUCAUGGAUAGGUUCACCUUCCAAUUGCUUGAAACCAUGAAUGUUGUCUCUGAGUUU
Small nucleolar RNA from Solanum stenotomum, 107 nucleotides. The record is from RefSeq and is a predicted model, not a curated record. NCBI's taxonomy places the organism in Eukaryota, Viridiplantae, Streptophyta, Magnoliopsida, Solanales, Solanaceae.